AAGAAAUUAGUUAAAUUAUAACAUUAAUUUGUCAAAUUAAAAUUAUUACUAUUAAUAUUUCUUU
RNAcentral lists this transfer RNA (64 nucleotides) under Homoeoxipha nigripes. RNAcentral's name for it is "tRNA-Asp". The record is from RNAcentral. Lineage: Eukaryota; Metazoa; Arthropoda; Insecta; Orthoptera; Trigonidiidae.